GAUAAAUGCAACUGUGUUCAUCUGAUCCGCUUGAUGUAAAUAUCUAAUGUAUGUCAAUUUACAAAGCUUAUUUUGUCCAACAAGUUACUUCUGGAGUCUUAAGUGUAAGGGUCAACCUGCAAAUCACACACAACACACCAGUACAGCAAUAUGGAAGAAGGUAAACUGUGAGUCUAUAUUGCUGUCAAGGAAUUCGAGAGCCUUGUUCUCUCCCAAAAGGUUACAAAACUAUACCAAAAUUCUCCACACUUGUAAAUGUAAAUGACAUCCCACUCUUCUAUUUA
This is a long non-coding RNA of Humulus lupulus (European hop), 284 nucleotides long. RefSeq lists it as uncharacterized. The record is from RefSeq and is a predicted model, not a curated record. NCBI's taxonomy places the organism in Eukaryota, Viridiplantae, Streptophyta, Magnoliopsida, Rosales, Cannabaceae. The transcript is spliced from 2 exons.